CAGAGUUUGAUCAUGGCUAGGGAUGAACGCUAGCGGCAGGCUUAACACAUGCAAGUCGAGGGGCAGCGGGGUGUAGCAAUACACUGCCGGCGACCGGCGCACGGGUGCGUAACGCGUAUGCAACCUACCCAUAACAGGGGCAUAACACUGAGAAAUUGGUACUAAUUCCCCAUAACAUUCGAAGAGGCAUCUCUUUGGGUUGAAAACUCCGGCGGUUAUGGAUGGGCAUGCGUUGUAUUAGCUAGUUGGUGGGG
This 254-nucleotide ribosomal RNA is filed under the name uncultured bacterium. Its description in RNAcentral is "partial 16S ribosomal RNA". It matches the Rfam family "Bacterial small subunit ribosomal RNA", at positions 8 to 257 of the family's 1533-position model. The record is from RNAcentral.